GCUUGGCGACACUGCGAUCCCAGAGACAGCGUGUGCUCUGCAUUUCCCCGGUUUAUUCAUUGGUGUCCUUUUCCCGUCAGAGAGAGGAGACACACCGCCUCUUCCCAAGUUCACAAGGCAAGCGACCGCCCGUGAUCCGCAGUGGGUUUGCGGAGUGCUCCGUAGCCUGACAGACGCAGACCACCCAGCGAACGUCACGCCCCAGCCCCCCGAAAAUGUGCAGGAUUUUCGGGACGGGCUGAGGGGAGCUGCGGAGGAAGGGGGAUAUCUGAGAACAGAGUGGAAGCGCCUUCCUUGGCUGAACUCUUCCUCUUCCAGAGGGUGGAUCCUGUAUCCGACUUUCUGAUAUCAUGGUUUAUACUCCUUCCGUCCCGUGUGUCCUGUAUAUAAACCUCAAACGUUUGCUCACGCUCCGGGCAUCUGGUGAAGUGGACUGUCGCAUACAACAGAUUUCCCUUCGUGACACCAAGAGGAGAAAUGCAUUUACUUCCGAGGUGCCGCAAGACUCUGCUGUCCGUGCUACGUGCAAGGCCAGUGCUAGGUGCUGAAAAGAUCGAGGGUCAAGCCUGCGGGACCAGACUGGCCCGGCCCAAAAGCUGUUUUGCAUAAGCUCAAAAGCUCACCUGUAACUGACCCCUGCCUCCUAAGGAGACCCCCAUUUGCAAAAAGGGACUAGUGGCUGAGAAAGAAGAGAGCAUUUGCUUUCAAGAAAUCCCCCAGGCUGCAAGAUUCAAGGGGGGGGGGGCAGCAGGAGGUGAAGUGCAGGUGGGACAAAAGCCAGUUCACCUGCGGGAUCAGAGCGGACAGGGCUCUUGGACGCCACACCUUUGUCCCAGCAAGCGCCCGCCCGUGGAGGCAGCGCAGAGAGUAAGCGGCCCCCGCAGGAAUGCGGGAUUUGGGGUGGAAGAUCUGGGGCUCCAGCCCGGCUGGGUAUCCUGCUUAUCCCCUCUGGAAAAUUCUGGAAACUCUAGCAAGGCGGGACCCAGAAGGAAGCUGCAAAGAAGAGGCAAAUGCUGCUCUGAGCGCACCGCUCUCUGGAAGCACCGGAAACCUUUCACUGUGGACUCUGGGGGAGACUCCGGAGGGACAUGAUGUUUUCCUAUCAGCAUAUUGGUGGAUGCAUAUGGAAGCAGGAAGGAAGGAAGGAAGGAGAAGGCCCCGGAGGACUAUUCCAGCUUCUAAUAAUGGUCAGGGAUUUGACAAGCACGGGGUCUCCGGCUCCUACCAUUUCCAAAUCGAAAUGCUUCUGAAAAUGCUGAGCGUUCCACCAGCAUUAAAUCUUUCUGCACAGGCCGGCUGACCUAAACUAUCCAUGUUAUUUUCCUUUGCCUUUCUUUCACCUCCUCUUUGUCUCUCUCUCCCCGCUCCCUUCCUCUAUUUAAAUAACACUUGAGGUUGGAACCGAAUCAAACACUUAGUGGCCUGAGCCCAUAUUGUGUUGAUUUAAAACUAUGUUGGGGUGAGGGGAAGGGCACAGGCAGUUGGCUUUAAAACUCAUUUUGGGGGUCGUGGGGGAGUCUGAGAAGCCAGGAGAACAGUGAGGAGCUGGAAUCUAUUAGUGCAGCCCGAGAGACGACUCUGGAACAGCCAUCUCUGCUUGGUUGAUACGCAAUGCGGUGAACGCAAUGCGGGGAAUCAAGGGCACUUGUUUUGGAGAGAAACGUUUUUGGAGAGUGGCUACGGCUUCGCACAUCCAGGUAGUGACAGGAUAACCCAUGCUCAGGAUAACAACCAGCCACGGUGAACAGAACCAAGCAACAAACCAUGAACUCUCUUCAUGGAUUUUGCGUGGUUCACAAGCCACAGCUUAUUAGCACGCCUGAGUCCAGACAUUUCAGCGGCAACAACCCACACUCAACCCAUGCUGAACCCACUCAACUGUUAUAGCGCAAUAUAACAUCCAUGUUUACAGUCGGUGGAUGCCAGUAAAUUCUAGUACACCCUUCCCUCACCUGGUACUGUGUUGGACUACAACUCCCAGAAUCCCACAGUCAGCAUAGCAUUAUGGGAGUUGUAGCCCGAUGCAUCAGAAGGCAGCCAAUAUGGGAGCACUGUGGGAGUUGCUGGGGCCUACAGUGAAAGAGGGCUUGUGGGCGUCUUUGCGGUCCCUGAGCCAGUCCAGCUUCUGGACCUGCCCUGGCAGUAGGUGGAAUGAAACAGAUGCCUCAGGGAGCAGCGCUGGGAGGUGCACCAAGGUGUUCGAGGAGAGAGCUGUGGGCCAUGCACAACCAGGGCGUCUUCUUUUCACCGGGUCCAGCGCUUACUUUUUAGAGCAUCUGUUCUGGUGACUUCAACCAAAGUUUCAGUCUGGGUCAGACUCCUGCACUGAACUUAGGAGGGAUUCUCCCACGGGUGCAACCAAGUCUCCUGCUGACUUUGGAUGGGCCUUUAUGGCGGUCCCUCCCCUAAGCCAAGGAGCAUUUUGCUUCCGAGAAUUAAGCAGCCCACCAGCAGCCAAGGCCUUCGCCCAUUUGCAAGAAAACUUUCCGCAUUCACAGUUAGUUCACGACACAGGCAGGACCAAUCCCAUUUCCAACAUAGAUUGGUUUUCAGUGCCAUGUGUUAUAAUGCGCUGUCCGUUGUGGCGGGUCAUGGGUGAAGGCAACCCUGUGAUCUUUGGUAUGAGCAGGGAAUCUCCAGGACUCCGCCACUAGGAGACCUGUGUUCACAGGCAACGCAAAACCCACAGGAAGGUUUAAUUUGCACGCGUCAGCCAGAUUUCUUGCAUAGCUCUCCAGUGUUUACUGCAGCCUGCAAGGGAAUUGGUCUUUCAAUACCCAGAAUGGUGUUAAGAGCAGAGGAGAUACCUGGACCAUUCAGACCAAAGGUCCCUGCUGCCUGGCAUUCUGCCUCCAACACCAGAGAGCCAGGUGCCUCUGGGGAAGCUUGUCCCCAGGGUCGCUUGUUCAGAGGUAGACUGUGCCUAUGGCUGGAGGCUCUAUUUAGAAUCAGGGCCAGUAAUGUUGCAGUCGUUGUUGAGGUGCAGUUGCUCAUUACGUCAGCCCUGAAGCCAUAUUCCCAGGGGGACACCAAAAACAGUGCUCUGCAGCAGUAGGUCAGGUCUGGUCAUUUUCGUCAGCCUGGGGAGGGGAGAGCGGGUCUUUCAUAAAGCCAAUGGGUCUUAACUGCCCAUUCCAGACCAGCCCACCAGGGACCGAUUCACAGUUCUUGGCAAACAUCACUUUCCCCGGCUGUUGUGAGAACUGCAGCCGAGCGGAGACGAAGCAGGGAAUCCUGAAAUCGGCAUCUUUGCCAAUUGCAGACUCCCGGAGCUCCGUCCCUGUGAGCCCCGGUUCCAUGCCAGCACUCAUGGUAGCUCACAGCUAUUGAUAGACACGUGCAGACGUGUGCUUUGCAUGGACAUCGCCCCCGCCUCGCAGCCCAGAUUUCCACCGGCAAAGGUGGCCUCUUGGUCCUUCUGCCCCCCGCCCCUGCCUGCCCUGUGCUGUGGUGCCAUCCAGCCCAGUGAAGAACUCUGGAGAACGCAAAAGCUUCGUGUGAUGCGGCUGCCGGGUGACCUUUCGGUCGCCGCAGAUCUCCAAGCAGCCACCGGCACAGGGCAGAGUGCUGACGCAUGUUCUGAGCAUGUUGUCAAAAGUUCUUUAAACAGACAUUUCCAGGCAUCACGGUUAGCGGAAAUGUUACAAUGCGAGUGCCUCGAGCCAUGGGAAGAUGAAAGUGAAACUUCUCGUAUUUUCAUUGCGGAAGCAGAAUAAUCAGGGAAAGGGGAGAGGCCAGAAAUAAGAAAACAGAACUGUGCAUUCCUUCCAAGCUGCAGACUACUGUUCCUUUGUCUUAACUUUUCUUUCUUUUCUUACAAUUUUAUAAAAAUAAACACACCCAGCCAAACAAAAGUGCAUCAAAUGUGGAUCUCAUUAUUAAUUGAGCAUAAAUUUCAUGCUCGCUCCGUGCUGACACACACUGUAUUUUACAGAGAAAAUGCAGGUGGUAUCCUCAUGCUGAUGGAAAGAAUUUCUUUAUGGCUCUUUAUAAAUAGAUUGCAUGUCAGUUUUUCCCGUAAUUUGAGGAAAGGCUUUGACAAAUGCUUCUGUGUUCAUUCAAAGGUGUUACACAAUAACCUACCAGGGCUGGAUUGUGGAUUUCUUCAUGUGGUGUCCCAGAUCUAUGGGACGGGCCUCUGCCCUACGGCCUUGCUGUCCUUGGGUACUUGCCGAAAAAUUGGAUGAGCCGGCCGGACUUCCCCUCCUGCAGCCCCUGCCCCUGCUGCAUCUUAAAUGCCCUCUAUCCCAUUUCUGUCUGUUGUUGUGAUGUGCAGUCAAGCUGCCCAUGACUUAUGGCCACCCUAAGAAGGAAAGCCCUCCAUAAGGUCUUGUCCUGGACAGCCCUGCUCAGCGCCUGUCAACUCAAGCCUGAUGGAAUUGAUCCCUCUUAUAGGUGGUCAUUGCCGUCUUUUUCUGCCUUCUUUCUUCACCUUCCCCUAGCAUUAUAAUCCACACAGGGCUAUCCUUAGGAGACAGGCCCUUUUCAAGACACACAGAGAGACUUCAGAGCAAUACAAGUUCGCAUGUGAAUAAGGAAGGCUUCUGUUUUUCUCUUUUUCCCUGCAAGCCUCAGCCCUGGGUCUUUACAGUACCUUUUGAGCAUUUUUUUCAGCAUAUGUUCCUCAUUUGAAUAUACAAUAAAAUCAUGCCAUAUUGCAUACAAA
Varanus komodoensis (Komodo dragon) is the source of this 4666-nucleotide long non-coding RNA. RefSeq lists it as uncharacterized. NCBI's taxonomy places the organism in Eukaryota, Metazoa, Chordata, Lepidosauria, Squamata, Varanidae. The record is from RefSeq and is a predicted model, not a curated record. The transcript has 2 exons.